RNAcentral lists this ribosomal RNA (253 nucleotides) under uncultured prokaryote. RNAcentral's name for it is "partial 16S ribosomal RNA". It matches the Rfam family "Bacterial small subunit ribosomal RNA", at positions 524 to 776 of the family's 1533-position model. The record is from RNAcentral.
UACGAAGGGGGCUAGCGUUGUUCGGAAUCACUGGGCGUAAAGCGCACGUAGGCGGAUUGUUAAGUCGGGGGUGAAAUCCUGGGGCUCAACCCCAGAACUGCCCUCGAUACUGGCGAUCUUGAGUGUGGAAGAGGUUGGUGGAACUCCGAGUGUAGAGGUGAAAUUCGUAGAUAUUCGGAAGAACACCAGUGGCGAAGGCGGCCAACUGGUCCACUACUGACGCUGAGGUGCGAAAGCGUGGGGAGCAAACAGG